Molecule: long non-coding RNA, 165 nt
Organism: Oxyura jamaicensis (ruddy duck)
Lineage: Eukaryota; Metazoa; Chordata; Aves; Anseriformes; Anatidae
Exons: 4
Source: RefSeq, a predicted model, not a curated record
AGGUCCUGCCCCAUAGCGGGGUGCCCUGCCCCAUAGCGAGGGAGCAGGUCCUGCCCCAUAGCGGCACUUCCUGCCCCAUAGCGGGCUCCUGCCCCAUAGCGGGGUGUCCUGCCCCAUAGUGGGGUCCUGCCCCAUAGCGAGGUGCCCUGCUCUAUAGCGGGGUGC